GAGGCGUCCCGCGACUGGCGCUGAAGAUGGAGUCCCAUCGGGAAGCGGGACGGACCGAUCGGUCCUGCGAGCCGCGCGCCUGGGUGAUCCAU
RNAcentral lists this non-coding RNA (92 nucleotides) under Sphingopyxis sp. Its description in RNAcentral is "ZTP sequence". It matches the Rfam family "ZMP/ZTP riboswitch aptamer (pfl RNA motif)". Rfam says of the family: Previously known as pfl RNA. Lineage: Bacteria; Pseudomonadati; Pseudomonadota; Alphaproteobacteria; Sphingomonadales; Sphingopyxidaceae. The record is from RNAcentral.